GUCCACGCCGUAAACGAUGGGUACUAGGCGCCGGGGGAGCGACCCCUUCGGUGCCGUCGCUAACGCAAUAAGUACCCCGCCUGGGGAGUACGGCCGCAAGGCUGAAACUCAAAGGAAUUGACGGGGGCCCGCACAAGCGGUGGAGCAUGUGGUUCAAUUCGAAGCAACGCGAAGAACCUUACCUGGGCUUGACAUGCACGGGAAAGCCGGUGGAAACAUCGGCCCCUCUUCGGAGUCCGUGCACAGGUGCUGCAUGGCUGUCGU
RNAcentral lists this ribosomal RNA (264 nucleotides) under uncultured bacterium. RNAcentral describes it as "partial 16S ribosomal RNA". It matches the Rfam family "Bacterial small subunit ribosomal RNA", at positions 793 to 1055 of the family's 1533-position model. The record is from RNAcentral.